This 1417-nucleotide long non-coding RNA is filed under the name Chrysemys picta bellii (western painted turtle). RNAcentral's name for it is "lncRNA (ENSCPBG00000021679.1)". Lineage: Eukaryota; Metazoa; Chordata; Testudines; Emydidae. The record is from RNAcentral.
GAGGGGAGAGGCCAAGUGGUGAUGUCAGUGUCUCUCUUUUUGUACCUUCUUCCAGCUGCUAGAAAGAUCCUUACUGUGAUCCCAGCUGCUGUCAGACAGUACCCAUUGGUCAAGCAGUCUUCAUUGUGUACCUGCCUUCUCUAAGGAGUCUCUGGGAUAACGGACUGUGUGUUGAUGAGCCACUGAUGACCGUCUAAGACAGUAAUGGCUACUCCUUGGUUGUAACUGAAAGGCUGCUUGUGGGUGUUCCCAAUCUCACAACAUAUUUCAGUAACACACAUACAAUACUUCAUACCUUCACAUAUAAUGAUAGCACAUUAAUGUCCUGUUGGAUUGUAUGUCCAACAGACUAAUACUUCUAAAAUGAUACCUCACAAGGCAUACUUUGUACAAAACAUAUCAAUUAUAUGACAGUGAUGAAUAUGGAGGUUUCAAGGUGCUACUUUGAGGUAAAAAGUGUCAGAGUUAUGAUCUACUAAAACAGUUUGAGGAAGGAGGCAUCUUUUUUUACAGUUAAAAUAUCCUGAAAAAAAGCAAACUGAAAUUUGUUGACUUCUCUCUUUUUUCCUGCUUCUUCCGAUCCUUUCCCCUCCCACCCUUCAACUUCAUCACCACAGUAAUUUCUUAGGCCUUAAAUUUUCCUUAAUAUGAUCUCUUUCAUAGAUCAUUCAAAUACUUUGUGAAUGAUGUUAUGGCUACUGAACACAAUAUCCUAGCAGGACUGGCUAAGCAUCAGGGUUUUCCAUUAAUCAACACUACUAAUUAAAAAUGAGUACAUCAGGUGUUCCAUCAUUUUAUGGCAUGCCAGACUCAUUCCAAAUCUAACUUUUAAACACUUAAUUUAAAUCAUUUCUGUACCACCCAUCAAAAAGUUGACUGGAAAGCCAUAUUAAGACUUACAAGAACACUAUAGAAAUGGUCCCAGUGAAAACUAACCAAUCUGCCAUACAAAAGAAAAAUGGCAAAAAAAUCCACACAGGAAGCCAAAAUGGGCAAGGUCACGAACAGAAAUGUUUUCACCAAAUGGCACACACUCCCCAGUGUGUUCAGCAAAGAUAGAUUUCCAAACUNAAGGGGCCUGAUGUCAUAUCUGAUUGGGUGCCCCUUGCUGGCCACCUAAGGGAUUGCUAUGAAGUACCCAGCAAUCAAGUCCCCAAGUAUUUUAAGCCUCCUGUAGCCUAAAUGGAGUCCUGCCACUAACCCAGCCUUAGGGUCCCUAGGCAUACUCUCAGAGUGCAAAAGCUCUAACUCUCCCUUCUGAGAGCUGGAACCUGCUACCCAGUGGCUUAGCUACUGCUUAGCUCAGCCCUUCAGACUCCCCUCACUGCUGUAAACACACCCUCUCCCAAAAUCCCAACAACAUGUAAGCCUUCUGGUUUACCAUUUCUCUCUCAGGCAGCACAUGGCAACUGAGAAG